RNAcentral lists this ribosomal RNA (497 nucleotides) under uncultured bacterium. RNAcentral's name for it is "partial 16S ribosomal RNA". It matches the Rfam family "Bacterial small subunit ribosomal RNA", at positions 28 to 507 of the family's 1533-position model. The record is from RNAcentral.
GAUGAACGCUGGCGGCGUGCCUAAUACAUGCAAGUCGAGCGAACAGACGAGGAGCUUGCUCCUCUGACGUUAGCGGCGGACGGGUGAGUAACACGUGUAUAACCUACCUAUAAGUCUGGGAUAACUUCGGGAAACCGGAUCUAAUCCCGGAUAAUAUAUUGAACCGCAUUGUUCAAUAGUGAAAUACGGCUUUGCUGUCACUUAUAGAUGGAUCCGCGCCGCAUUAGCUAGUUGGUAAGGUAACGGCUUACCAAGGCAACGAUGCGUAGCCGACCUGAGAGGGUGAUCGGCCACACUAGAACUGAGACACGGUCCAGACUCCUACGGGAGGCAGCAGUAGGGAAUCUUCCGCAAUGGGCGAAAGCCUGACGGAGCAACGCCGCGUGAGUGAUGAAGGUCUUCGGAUCGUAAAACUCUGUUAUUAGGGAAGAACAAAUGUGUAAGUAACUAUGCACGUCUUGACGGUACCUAAUCAGAAAGCCACGGCUAACUACGUG